UAGCAUAUCAAUAAGCGGAGGAAAAGAAACCAACAGGGAUUGCCUCAGUAACGGCGAGUGAAGCGGCAACAGCUCAAAUUUGAAAUCUGGCCUCUUCGGGGUCCGAGUUGUAAUUUGGAGAGGAUGCUUCGGGCGUGGCACCGGUCUAAGUUCCUUGGAACAGGACGUCACAGAGGGUGAGAAUCCCGUAUGUGAUCGGCCGCCUUCGUCCAUGUGAAGCUCCUUCGACGAGUCGAGUUGUUUGGGAAUGCAGCUCAAAAUGGGUGGUAAAUUUCAUCUAAAGCUAAAUAUUGGCCAGAGACCGAUAGCGCACAAGUAGAGUGAUCGAAAGAUGAAAAGCACUUUGGAAAGAGAGUUAAAAAGUACGUGAAAUUGUUGAAAGGGAAGCGCUUGCAACCAGACUUGCUCGCAGUUGCUCAGCCGGUGUUCUCACCGGUGUACUCUUCUGCGGUCAGGCCAGCAUCAGUUCGGGCGGCCGGAUAAAGGUCGCGGGAAUGUGGCUCCUCUCGGGGAGUGUUAUAGCCCGCGGCGCCAUGCGGCCAGCCUGGACUGAGGUCCGCGCUUCGGCUAGGAUGCUGGCGUAAUGGUUGUAAGCGACCCGUCUUGAAACACGGACCAAGGAGUCUAACAUCUAUGCGAGUGUUUGGGUGUCAAACCCAUACGCGUAAUGAAAGUGAACGGAGGUGAGAACCCGUACGGGUGCAUCAUCGACCGAUCCUGAUGUCUUCGGAUGGAUUUGAGUAAGAGCAUAGCUGUUGGGACCCGAAAGAUGGUGAACUAUGCCUGAAUAGGGUGAAGCCAGAGGAAGACUCUGGUGGAGGCUCGCAGCGGUUCUGACGUGCAAAUCGAUCGUCAAAUUUGGGUAUAGGGGCGAAAGACUAAUCGA
This 886-nucleotide ribosomal RNA is filed under the name Xylona heveae. Its description in RNAcentral is "LSU rRNA". It matches the Rfam family "Eukaryotic large subunit ribosomal RNA", at positions 36 to 938 of the family's 3401-position model. Lineage: Eukaryota; Fungi; Ascomycota; Xylonomycetes; Xylonales; Xylonaceae. The record is from RNAcentral.